AUCUGGCUCAGAAUGAACGCUAGCUACAGGGUUAACACAUGCAAGUCGAGGGGCAUCAGGGUGUAGCAAUACACCGCUGGCGACCGGCGCACGGGUGAGUAACACGUAUCCAACCUGCCCUUUACUCGGGGAUAGCCUUUCGAAAGAAAGAUUAAUACCCGAUGGCAUAACAUGACCUCCUGGUUUUGUUAUUAAAGAAUUUCGGUAGAGGAUGGGGAUGCGUUCCAUUAGGCAGUUGGCGGGGUAACGGCCCACC
This 256-nucleotide ribosomal RNA is filed under the name uncultured bacterium. Its description in RNAcentral is "partial 16S ribosomal RNA". It matches the Rfam family "Bacterial small subunit ribosomal RNA", at positions 17 to 269 of the family's 1533-position model. The record is from RNAcentral.